Molecule: ribosomal RNA, 460 nt
Filed under: uncultured bacterium
Lineage: Bacteria
Description: partial 16S ribosomal RNA
Rfam family: Bacterial small subunit ribosomal RNA
Source: RNAcentral
CCUACGGGAGGCUGCAGUGAGGAAUAUUGGUCAAUGGGCGGGAGCCUGAACCAGCCAAGUCGCGUGAGGGAAGACGGUCCUAUGGAUUGUAAACCUCUUUAGGCGGGGAGCAAUGCCGGGCACGUGUGCCCGGAGGGAGAGUACCCGCAGAAUAAGCAUCGGCAAACUCCGUACCAGCAGCCGCGGUAAUACGGGGGCUGCGAGCUUUAUCCGGAUUUUUUGGGUUUAAGGGUUGCGUAGUCGGAUUUUUAAGUCAGCGGUAAAAUGUCCGGGCUCAACCCGGGCCGGCCGUUGAAACUGGGGAUCUUGAGUGGGCGAGAAGUAUGCGGAAUGCGUGGUGUAGCGGUGAAAUGCAUAGAUAUCACGCAGAACUCCGAUUGCGAAGGCAGCAUACCGGCGCCCGACUGACGCUGAGGCACGAAAGCGUGGGGAUCGAACAGGAUUAGAUACCCUUGUAGUC